GAUGAACGCUGGCGGCGUGCUUAACACAUGCAAGUCGAACGAAGCAUCCGCGACAGUUUGUUUCGGACUGGAGUCGCUUAUGACUGAGUGGCGGACGGAUGAGGAACUCGUGGGUAACCUGACUUGUGGUGGGGGAUAGUAACAGGAGACAGCUGCUAAUACCGCAUAGGCGCGGAUUGUUGCAUGACGUGGUGUGAAAAGGUCGGGUGGCAUAGGAUGGACUCGCGUCGGUUUAGCUAGUUGGUGAGGUAGCAGCCCACCAAGGCGACGAUCAGUAGCCGAGCUGAGAGGGUGACCGGUCACAUUGGGACUGAGACACGGACCAGACUCCUACGGGAGGCAGCAGUGGGGAAUAUUGCACAAUGGAGGAAACUCUGAUGCAGCGGCGCCGCGUGAGUGAAGAAGUAAUUCGUUAUGUAAAGCUCUAUGAGCAGGGAAGAUAGUGACGGUACCUGACAAAGAAGCACCGGCUAAAUACGUG
RNAcentral lists this ribosomal RNA (481 nucleotides) under uncultured bacterium. Its description in RNAcentral is "partial 16S ribosomal RNA". It matches the Rfam family "Bacterial small subunit ribosomal RNA", at positions 28 to 507 of the family's 1533-position model. The record is from RNAcentral.